RNAcentral lists this transfer RNA (71 nucleotides) under Gorpis humeralis. Its description in RNAcentral is "tRNA-Ser". The record is from RNAcentral. Lineage: Eukaryota; Metazoa; Arthropoda; Insecta; Hemiptera; Nabidae.
AAGAGGAUGAAGAUAAUCCUAAAGAAGCUGCUAACUAUCUUUAGAAGCGGUUAAAGUCCGUUUACCUCUUA